GUUCCCUGGUGGAGCCACUAAUUCGGCGCCAGAACACGCAGUUCCGCGAGUCCAUCUCCCCAGAAGAACGACUAUCUUUCACACUACGCUACCUGGCUCAUGGAUCUUCAAUGAGGAUAAUCGCAAAGAAUUACCGAAUUAGCACAACAGCAGCAAGUUCCAUUGUGAGGGACACAUGUAAGGCCUUGAGGAAGGAACCAACAGCACGAACAUGGACGGCGAUUGCUGAAGAUUUUUGGCAGUUGUGGGAUUUCCCUAACUGCAUCGGAGCCAUAGACGGCAAGCACAUUUCAAUACAGGCUCCCCCAAAUGAGGGUUCUGCAUUUUUCAACUACAAGGGCAGCCACAGUGUCAUUUUGCUAGCUUUGUGCGAUGCAAAGUACAGGUUUAUAAUGGUAGACGUUGGGGAGUGUGGGUCCUGGAGUGACGGUGGGGUAUUUCGAGACUGCGAAAUGGGAAAGAAGCUGAAGUCAGGUGGCUUCUCAAUUCCU
This is a long non-coding RNA of Ornithodoros turicata, 491 nucleotides long. RefSeq lists it as uncharacterized. The transcript has 3 exons. The record is from RefSeq and is a predicted model, not a curated record. Lineage: Eukaryota; Metazoa; Arthropoda; Arachnida; Ixodida; Argasidae.